RNAcentral lists this ribosomal RNA (253 nucleotides) under uncultured bacterium. Its description in RNAcentral is "partial 16S ribosomal RNA". It matches the Rfam family "Bacterial small subunit ribosomal RNA", at positions 524 to 776 of the family's 1533-position model. RNAcentral also lists the same sequence under 1 other name. The record is from RNAcentral.
GACGAACCGUGCGAACGUUGUUCGGAUUCACUGGGCUUAAAGGGCGCGUAGGCGGGUUAUCAAGUCGGGGGUGAAAUCUUUCAGCUCAACUGGAAAAGUGCCUUCGAUACUGAUGAUCUUGAGGGAGGUAGGGGCAUGUGGAACUUCCGGUGGAGCGGUGAAAUGCGUAGAUAUCGGAAGGAACGCCGGUGGCGAAAGCGACGUGCUGGACCUCUUCUGACGCUGAGGCGCGAAAGCCAGGGGAGCGAACGGG